GGAGAAGAAGAAGAAAAAGAAGGACAGAGAUGUUGAAGAAGUGUAGACCUUUAUUCCAGAGCAUUUUUGUUUCGAGGGGGUAUAACUAAAUGUGUGCUUAUGUUAACUUUAUUGCACAAGCAAUGUUAAUUUGGUAGUUUCUUUAAUCUUUUUAAUGCAGUUUCAGUGGAAUCAUUUCCAUGUCCUUGUUCUGCACAAUAUACAGUUUCUUUGGUUGAAUUGUUGUUGUGGUCAGCAAUUCAGCAUUGGUUUUCAUUCCUCUUUGCGUUGAAAUUUUGUGGCAAUAGUUUUUCCUGCAACAUUUGCCGAACAAACAUAUUUUUUUAAUUCUUCAUCAUAGAUGAAUAGAUUACGUCCGAAAUUUC
This 365-nucleotide unclassified non-coding RNA is filed under the name Hevea brasiliensis (rubber tree). Lineage: Eukaryota; Viridiplantae; Streptophyta; Magnoliopsida; Malpighiales; Euphorbiaceae. The record is from RNAcentral.